The sequence is a transfer RNA, 75 nucleotides long. It matches the Rfam family "tRNA". From Rfam's summary of the family: Transfer RNA (tRNA) molecules are approximately 80 nucleotides in length. Their secondary structure includes four short double-helical elements and three loops (D, anti-codon, and T loops).
CGACGUGUAGCUCACUAGUCAGAGCGCCGGGCUGUUACCCGGAGGGAGCAGGGGCGGAACCUGCCACGUCGACCA